UCCCUGGUGGUCCAGUGGUUAGGAUGCUGUUCUUCCACUGCAGAAGGCAUGGGUUUGAUCCCUGGUCAGGGAA
This 73-nucleotide transfer RNA is filed under the name Capra hircus (goat). It matches the Rfam family "tRNA". Rfam says of the family: Transfer RNA (tRNA) molecules are approximately 80 nucleotides in length. Their secondary structure includes four short double-helical elements and three loops (D, anti-codon, and T loops). The record is from Rfam by way of RNAcentral. Lineage: Eukaryota; Metazoa; Chordata; Mammalia; Artiodactyla; Bovidae. RNAcentral also lists the same sequence under 1 other name.